This 235-nucleotide ribosomal RNA is filed under the name uncultured Actinomycetales bacterium. Its description in RNAcentral is "partial 16S ribosomal RNA". It matches the Rfam family "Bacterial small subunit ribosomal RNA", at positions 97 to 334 of the family's 1533-position model. The record is from RNAcentral. Lineage: Bacteria; Bacillati; Actinomycetota; Actinomycetes; Actinomycetales.
GGCGAACGGGUGAGUAACACGUGGGUAAUCUGCCCUGCACUUUGGGAUAAGCCUGGUAAACUGGGUCUAAUACUGGAUAUGACCUUUCUCCUUAUGGGGUUUGGUGGAAAGUUUUUCAGUGUAGGAUGAGCCCGCGGCCUAUCAGCUUGUUGGUGGGGUGAUGGCCUACCAAGGCGACGACGGGUAGCCGGCCUGAGAGGGUGAUCGGCCACAUUGGGACUGAGAUACGGCCCAG